AAUAACCCGCCGAAAGGCGGGCUAAUACCGCAUAAGACCGUAAGGUGAAAGGGUGUAACUACCUGCUAGAGGAGCGGCUCGCGUCCCAUCAGCUUGUUGGUAGGGUAAUGGCUUACCAAGGCUAAGACGGGUAGCUGGACUGAGAGGUUGGCCAGCCACAAGGGCACUGAGACACGGGCCCUACUCCUACGGGAGGCAGCAACCGGGAAUCGUAGACAAUGGGCGAAAGCCUGAUCUCGCGACGCCGCGUGGAGGAUGAAGGCCUUCGGGUUGUAAACUCCUUUUAUCGGGGAAUAAGGUCCGACUUGUCGGACUUGACUGUACCCGAUGAAUAAGCCGCUGCUAACUACGUGCCAGCAGCCGCGGUGAUACGUAGGCGGCAAGCGUUACCCGGAUUUAUUGGGCGUAAAGCGUGCGCAGGUGGUCCGGUAAGUUUUCGUUUAAAGACACUUGGCUCAACAGUGGACCGCGAAAAUACUGCCAGACUUCGAGGAAGCUAGGGGGUGCCGGAACAGAUGGAGGAGCAGUGAAAUGCGUUGAUAUCAUCUGGAACACCCAAGGCGAAGGCAGGCACCUGGGGCUUUCCUGACACUGUUGCACGAAAGCGUGGGGAGCGAAUGGGAUUAGAUACCCCGGUAGUCCACGCUGUAAACUUUGGACACUAGAUAUCGGGCUGGUGACGGCUCGGUGUUGUAAGCUAACGCGUUAAGUGUCCCGCCUGGGGAGUACGGCCGCAAGGCUAAAACUCAAAGGAAUUGACGGGGACCCGCACAAGCAGGGGAACGUGUGGUUUAAUUCGAGACAAAACGAAGAACCUUACCAGGGUUUGACAUGUACGUGGUAGGAAGCCGAAAGGUUUACAACCCGCAAGGGAGCUUACACAGGUGCUGCAUGGCUGUCGUCAGCUCGUGCCGUGAGGUGUACCCUUAAGUGGGGUAACGAGCGCAACCCCUAUCAGCUGUUGUAUCACUCAACUGAGACUGCCCCGCUAAGCGGGGAGGAAGGAGGGGACGACGUCAAGUCAUCAUAGCCCUUAUGUCCUGGGCUACACACACGUUACAAUGGGUGUUAACAACGGGUUGCAACUCCG
This 1090-nucleotide ribosomal RNA is filed under the name uncultured bacterium. Its description in RNAcentral is "bacterial SSU rRNA". It matches the Rfam family "Bacterial small subunit ribosomal RNA", at positions 142 to 1257 of the family's 1533-position model. The record is from RNAcentral.